Cephus cinctus (wheat stem sawfly) is the source of this 550-nucleotide long non-coding RNA. RefSeq lists it as uncharacterized. The transcript is spliced from 3 exons. The record is from RefSeq and is a predicted model, not a curated record. NCBI's taxonomy places the organism in Eukaryota, Metazoa, Arthropoda, Insecta, Hymenoptera, Cephidae.
AUUGUACAGGGUGACCUGCUACCACUGCAGGAUCAGGACAAUACUGAAGAACCGAUAAUAUGAGUUCUUAGGAACGGUGUGUACGUAGAGGCGGAUGCCGACGAGGCUGCUGAAGUAUUAGCAGACCUCGAUGAUGAUGAUGAUGAUGAUGAUGAUGAUGAGAAUCCAAACGACGCGGAUACCUACGAAGAAGGGGGUGAUGAAUACCAGUUAGACGCACUAUUCUCAUACAUAGGGUCAGUGUUUAAUCCUCGCGAGGAAUGAGAAAUGCAGAGGACGAUGGGGUAUGUCGGCAGAUCGGUGGUGGCCCCAUUCUUCGACCACAGAGCGACGACGAUGACGCCGACGGAGAUUUCAAUAACGACGUGCUACCACCUGGAUAUAGAUUUACAAUAGAAUCCGAAACGACACGUCGUAUAAAUAGGUUAGGCAUUUCAAAUAUAUAGGUCUUUUGUCAUCGAGUCAUGUAUAGUCGAAGUACCGCGGGGUACAGGACGCGUGCGAUUAGCGCACGAAUUUGUAAAAAAACAUUCUAUACUGACUAUAGCGA